GACGAACGCUGGCGGCGUGCUUAACACAUGCAAGUCGAACGGAAAGGCCCCUUCGGGGGUACUCGAGUGGCGAACGGGUGAGUAACACGUGAGUAACCUGCCCUUGACUUCGGGAUAACUUCAGGAAACUGGGGCUAAUACCGGAUAGGAAUCCUUGCUGCAUGGUGGGGGUUGGAAAGCUUCGGCGGUUUUGGAUGGACUCGCGGCUUAUCAGCUUGUUGGUGGGGUAGUGGCUUACCAAGGCUUUGACGGGUAGCCGGCCUGAGAGGGCGACCGGCCACAUUGGGACUGAGAUACGGCCCAGACUCCUACGGGAGGCAGCAGUGGGGAAUAUUGCACAAGGGGCGGAAGCCUGAUGCAGCAACGCCGCGUGCGGGAUGACGGCCUUCGGGUUGUAAACCGCUUUCAGCAGGGGCGAAGCUUGUGGUGACGGUACCUGCAGAAGAAGCACCGGCUAACUACGUG
This 465-nucleotide ribosomal RNA is filed under the name uncultured bacterium. Its description in RNAcentral is "partial 16S ribosomal RNA". It matches the Rfam family "Bacterial small subunit ribosomal RNA", at positions 28 to 507 of the family's 1533-position model. The record is from RNAcentral.